RNAcentral lists this ribosomal RNA (482 nucleotides) under uncultured bacterium. RNAcentral's name for it is "partial 16S ribosomal RNA". It matches the Rfam family "Bacterial small subunit ribosomal RNA", at positions 30 to 507 of the family's 1533-position model. The record is from RNAcentral.
AUUGAACGCUGGCGGCAUGCCUUACACAUGCAAGUCGAACGGUAACAGGUCUUCGGCUGCUGCCGAGUGGCGAACGGGUGAGUAAUACAUCGGAACGUGCCCAGACGUGGGGGAUAACGAGGCGAAAGCUUUGCUAAUACCGCAUACGAUCUAAGGAUGAAAGCAGGGGACCGCAAGGCCUUGUGCGUUUGGAGCGGCCGAUGGCAGAUUAGGUAGUUGGUGGGAUAAAAGCUUACCAAGCCGACGAUCUGUAGCUGGUCUGAGAGGACGACCAGCCACACUGGGACUGAGACACGGCCCAGACUCCUACGGGAGGCAGCAGUGGGGAAUUUUGGACAAUGGGCGAAAGCCUGAUCCAGCAAUGCCGCGUGCAGGAUGAAGGCCUUCGGGUUGUAAACUGCUUUUGUACGGAACGAAAAGGCUCUGGCUAAUACCUGGGGCACAUGACGGUACCGUAAGAAUAAGCACCGGCUAACUACGUG